This 252-nucleotide ribosomal RNA is filed under the name uncultured bacterium. RNAcentral describes it as "partial 16S ribosomal RNA". It matches the Rfam family "Bacterial small subunit ribosomal RNA", at positions 524 to 776 of the family's 1533-position model. The record is from RNAcentral.
UACGAAGGGGGCUAGCGUUGUUCGGAAUCACUGGGCGUAAAGCGCACGUAGGCGGACUCUUAAGUCAGGGGUGAAAUCCAAGGCUCAACCUUGGAACUGCCUUUGAUACUGGGAGUCUUGAGUUCGGAAGAGGUAAGUGGAACUGCGAGUGUAGAGGUGAAAUUCGUAGAUAUUCGCAAGAACACCAGUGGCGAAGGCGGCUUACUGGUCCGAUACUGACGCUGAGGUGCGAAAGCGUGGGGAGCAAACAGG